This 534-nucleotide small RNA is filed under the name Pongo abelii (Sumatran orangutan). RNAcentral's name for it is "processed transcript". The record is from RNAcentral. Lineage: Eukaryota; Metazoa; Chordata; Mammalia; Primates; Hominidae.
CGCCUCUGCCUCCUGAGGGUGUUAGGGGCCCUGGGAUCCACGUGUCUACUUGAAGACAGCUACAGGAGACAAAGUUUGCAGUAGGCCUCGAGACAGGGUUUCACCAUGUUGCCCAGGCUGGUCUCCUGAGCUCAAGCGAUCUGCCCGCCUCCACCUCCCAAAGUGCUAGGAUUACAAGCAACCAACAUCCCGGGUAACCGGGUGGCUGAAGGACGGGUGACGUGUCCCUACCUCCCCCCCUUCCCUGCCCGAGGCUCCGGCAUCCACCGUCUUGCCUUCCUGCUCUUCAAGCAGGACCAGCCGAUUGACUUCUCCGAGGAUGCACGCCCCUCACCCUGCUAUCAGCUGGCCCAGCGGACCUUCCGCACUUUUGAUUUCUACAAGAAAUACCAAGAAGCCAUGACUCCAGCCGGCUUGUCCUUCUUCCAGUGCCGCUGGGAUGACUCCGUAACCUACAUCUUCCACCAGCUUCUGGACAUGCGGGAGCCAGUGUUUGAGUUCGUGCGGCCGCCCCCUUACCACCCCAAGCAGAAG